CAAACACCUCGGUAGGUGAGGCGUCUGCACGGACACAGGCCACUGACCCCGAACGUCGAGAGACGCCCCGGGUCAGGACAGCUCUUCCCGGCUUAAGGGUUGAGCCCAAGUGGCUUCCAGACGAUGGUCUGGAUACGCCGUGCAGUGCCGAAGCUCCGUCGAGUGGGGGUGUUCG
Molecule: small RNA, 175 nt
Filed under: Mycobacterium riyadhense
Lineage: Bacteria; Bacillati; Actinomycetota; Actinomycetes; Mycobacteriales; Mycobacteriaceae
Description: Magnesium sequence
Rfam family: M-box riboswitch aptamer (ykoK leader)
About the family: M-box riboswitch, also know as ykoK leader is described as a metaloregulatory RNA that sense divalent metals and function as a genetic control element of genes related to divalent metal transport in bacteria. It was first reported upstream of the B.subtilis ykoK gene and genes with related functions in other bacteria.
Source: RNAcentral